AGAUUUUGAAUGAGCCUAGGCAGUCUUGUGAGCUGAUGGCUUUAUCUAGUCAGCAGUUUGGAAAGGCAAGGAGAGUGAAAGAUGAGUGUCCCUGUACCUUAUCUGUUUCCUGUGCGAAGAAUAGUGACAGUGAAGGAAAUGUGCCUAUGUCUGUCAGGGGUAUUGACUUGCCUAUGGAGGAAGCUACCCCAGUCUCCAAGCAGUUGUCUGUGAACAGCCCAGUGUGCUGGGACAAGGGAAAUGAAAUCCCAAACUGUAUGUCUAGUAAAGGAAAAUGUGUCUCCAACUCUUCUUUGUCUGUGGAGCAGACAGAAGGUGCCUUUCGGCCUGUGAUGGUUGAGAGUAAUUUAGUUGUCUCAGAGUUGGUUCUGAAUUCAACUAAAGCCCAGGAAGGGAAUGGUCCUAAGUUUGCAUCUGUUGGGGAGAAUGGCACCGUAACUAGGUUGCAUCCAGUUAGUGUCUUAGCAAAAUCCCAGAGACCAGACAAUUCUGGUGCUUGUAUUUUGCCUGUUGCUCAUGUGUGGUUGGAGAAGGGUGUAGCAACCCUGUCUGAUCAGGGUGAUACCCUAGCCAGGGCACAAGGAGAGCAGAAAGGUAAUUUGGUUGUGGUACCUAUGGACAGUUUAACAACUUGUAGCAAAAAGGAAAAAAUUCCUAAGCUUGUGUGUGGCAAAGAAAAGGGAAAUAUUUCUAACCUUUUAUCUAGGAAGUCUACUGGUUCGCCUGAAAGGGGAUUGUGUAGAGAUCUGCCUAAUGGGCCAAAGGUAAUCCUGAAUGCAAGUAAGACCCAGACAGAGUCUGUUGUUGCUCAGGAAAGUGUUCCUUUAGAGCAAGCCCUAGGUGAAGAGGGUAAGGGCAGAAUUUCUGUGAGGGGUGAAUUGCUGCUUAGAAAAGCUCCUGGGGAAAGGAAUCCUCAUGGUAAUCGGUGCAAGCAGUUCCCUGCAACUGAAGGGUGUGAGAGUGAUUUAAUCAAGGAAGUUUCAGUUCCUAGCAGCCAAAAAUUGUCUGUUGUGGAUGGAUCCACUGACUUGCCUUUUAAAAGAUCCAGUGUGGGUAGCUUUGAGAAGGUCUCAGAGGAAGUAAAAGUUGUUAAGGAAUUGAGGCAGCCCUAUAACCAAGUGGCUGUGUGGGGCCAACUUGUUGGGGAGACAAUGGUGUUGGAACAGGAAUGUCUCCUUUCUGAUUCUUUAGAUGAGCAGUCUGGGCUUCAGGGUUUGAGGACAGAUUUGGUUACUGAUGUGUCAGAGCAGAGCAGUUUUAUGGCUAAAUGCUUGAGGAUGCG
This 1282-nucleotide long non-coding RNA is filed under the name Chrysemys picta bellii (western painted turtle). Its description in RNAcentral is "lncRNA (ENSCPBG00000002214.1)". Lineage: Eukaryota; Metazoa; Chordata; Testudines; Emydidae. The record is from RNAcentral.